RNAcentral lists this ribosomal RNA (495 nucleotides) under uncultured bacterium. RNAcentral's name for it is "partial 16S ribosomal RNA". It matches the Rfam family "Bacterial small subunit ribosomal RNA", at positions 28 to 507 of the family's 1533-position model. The record is from RNAcentral.
GAUGAACGCUGGCGGCGUGCCUAAUACAUGCAAGUAGAACGCUGAAGGAGGAGCUUGCUCUUCUGGAUGAGUUGCGAACGGGUGAGUAACGCGUAGGUAACCUGCCUGGUAGCGGGGGAUAACUAUUGGAAACGAUAGCUAAUACCGCAUGACAACAGUUAUUGCAUGAUAACUGUUUAAAAGGGGCAACUGCUCCACUACCAGAUGGACCUGCGUCGUAUUAGCUAGUUGGUGAGGUAACGGCUCACCAAGGCGACGAUACAUAGCCGACCUGAGAGGGUGAUCGGCCACACUGGGACUGAGACACGGCCCAGACUCCUACGGGAGGCAGCAGUAGGGAAUCUUCGGCAAUGGACGGAAGUCUGACCGAGCAACGCCGCGUGAGUGAAGAAGGUUUUCGGAUCGUAAAGCUCUGUUGUAAGAGAAGAACGAGUGUGAGAGUGGAAAGUUCACACUGUGACGGUAUCUUACCAGAAAGGGACGGCUAACUACGUG